RNAcentral lists this ribosomal RNA (1562 nucleotides) under Vibrio alginolyticus. Its description in RNAcentral is "bacterial SSU rRNA". It matches the Rfam family "Bacterial small subunit ribosomal RNA". Lineage: Bacteria; Pseudomonadati; Pseudomonadota; Gammaproteobacteria; Vibrionales; Vibrionaceae. The record is from RNAcentral.
AAAUUGAAGAGUUUGAUCAUGGCUCAGAUUGAACGCUGGCGGCAGGCUUAACACAUGCAAGUCGAGCGGAAACGAGCUAUCUGAACCUUCGGGGAACGAUAACGGCGUCGAGCGGCGGACGGGUGAGUAAUGCCUAGGAAAUUGCCCUGAUGUGGGGGAUAACCAUUGGAAACGAUGGCUAAUACCGCAUGAUGCCUACGGGCCAAAGAGGGGGACCUUCGGGCCUCUCGCGUCAGGAUAUGCCUAGGUGGGAUUAGCUAGUUGGUGAGGUAAGGGCUCACCAAGGCGACGAUCCCUAGCUGGUCUGAGAGGAUGAUCAGCCACACUGGAACUGAGACACGGUCCAGACUCCUACGGGAGGCAGCAGUGGGGAAUAUUGCACAAUGGGCGCAAGCCUGAUGCAGCCAUGCCGCGUGUGUGAAGAAGGCCUUCGGGUUGUAAAGCACUUUCAGUCGUGAGGAAGGUAGUGUAGUUAAUAGCUGCAUUAUUUGACGUUAGCGACAGAAGAAGCACCGGCUAACUCCGUGCCAGCAGCCGCGGUAAUACGGAGGGUGCGAGCGUUAAUCGGAAUUACUGGGCGUAAAGCGCAUGCAGGUGGUUUGUUAAGUCAGAUGUGAAAGCCCGGGGCUCAACCUCGGAAUAGCAUUUGAAACUGGCAGACUAGAGUACUGUAGAGGGGGGUAGAAUUUCAGGUGUAGCGGUGAAAUGCGUAGAGAUCUGAAGGAAUACCGGUGGCGAAGGCGGCCCCCUGGACAGAUACUGACACUCAGAUGCGAAAGCGUGGGGAGCAAACAGGAUUAGAUACCCUGGUAGUCCACGCCGUAAACGAUGUCUACUUGGAGGUUGUGGCCUUGAGCCGUGGCUUUCGGAGCUAACGCGUUAAGUAGACCGCCUGGGGAGUACGGUCGCAAGAUUAAAACUCAAAUGAAUUGACGGGGGCCCGCACAAGCGGUGGAGCAUGUGGUUUAAUUCGAUGCAACGCGAAGAACCUUACCUACUCUUGACAUCCAGAGAACUUUCCAGAGAUGGAUUGGUGCCUUCGGGAACUCUGAGACAGGUGCUGCAUGGCUGUCGUCAGCUCGUGUUGUGAAAUGUUGGGUUAAGUCCCGCAACGAGCGCAACCCUUAUCCUUGUUUGCCAGCGAGUAAUGUCGGGAACUCCAGGGAGACUGCCGGUGAUAAACCGGAGGAAGGUGGGGACGACGUCAAGUCAUCAUGGCCCUUACGAGUAGGGCUACACACGUGCUACAAUGGCGCAUACAGAGGGCAGCCAACUUGCGAAAGUGAGCGAAUCCCAAAAAGUGCGUCGUAGUCCGGAUUGGAGUCUGCAACUCGACUCCAUGAAGUCGGAAUCGCUAGUAAUCGUGGAUCAGAAUGCCACGGUGAAUACGUUCCCGGGCCUUGUACACACCGCCCGUCACACCAUGGGAGUGGGCUGCAAAAGAAGUAGGUAGUUUAACCUUCGGGGGGACGCUUACCACUUUGUGGUUCAUGACUGGGGUGAAGUCGUAACAAGGUAGCGCUAGGGGAACCUGGCGCUGGAUCACCUCCUUAUACAAUGAU